GUGAUCUCUUCAGCAGCACAUAUACUAAAUUGGAAUGAUACAGAGAUUAGCAUGGUUCCGUACAAGGAUGAUACACAAAUUGUUGAAGUGUUCUACAUUUUU
Molecule: small nuclear RNA, 102 nt
Filed under: Pan troglodytes (chimpanzee)
Lineage: Eukaryota; Metazoa; Chordata; Mammalia; Primates; Hominidae
Source: RNAcentral